RNAcentral lists this ribosomal RNA (274 nucleotides) under uncultured bacterium. RNAcentral's name for it is "partial 16S ribosomal RNA". It matches the Rfam family "Bacterial small subunit ribosomal RNA", at positions 523 to 796 of the family's 1533-position model. The record is from RNAcentral.
CUACGGAGGGUGCAAGCGUUGUCCGGAUUUAUUGGGUUUAAAGGGUGCGUAGGUGGCGUGUUAAGUCAGUGGUGAAAGCCUGCAGCUCAACUGUAGAGGUGCCAUUGAUACUGACAUGCUUGAGUAUGGACGAGGUAGGCGGAAUUUGUGGUGUAGCGGUGAAAUGCAUAGAUACCACAAAGAACACCGAUAGCGAAGGCAGCUUACUGGACCAUAACUGACACUGAGGCACGAAAGUGUGGGUAGCGAACAGGAUUAGAUACCCUAGUAGUCC